Perognathus longimembris pacificus (Pacific pocket mouse) is the source of this 107-nucleotide small nuclear RNA. The record is from RefSeq and is a predicted model, not a curated record. Lineage: Eukaryota; Metazoa; Chordata; Mammalia; Rodentia; Heteromyidae.
GUGCUCACUUCGGCAGCACAUAUACUAAAAUUCGAAUGAUACAGAGAAGAUUAGUAUGAUCACUGUGCAAGGAUUAUACACAAAUUUGUGGAGCGUUCCAUACUUUU